Molecule: ribosomal RNA, 497 nt
Filed under: uncultured bacterium
Lineage: Bacteria
Description: partial 16S ribosomal RNA
Rfam family: Bacterial small subunit ribosomal RNA
Source: RNAcentral
GAUGAACGCUGGCGGCGUGCCUAAUACAUGCAAGUCGAGCGAACAGACGAGGAGCUUGCUCCUCUGACGUUAGCGGCGGACGGGUGAGUAACACGUGGAUAACCUACCUAUAAGACUGGGAUAACUUCGGGAAACCGGAGCUAAUACCGGAUAAUAUAUUGAACCGCAUGGUUCAAUAGUGAAAGACGGUUUUGCUGUCACUUAUAGAUGGAUCCGCGCCGCAUUAGCUAGUUGGUAAGGUAACGGCUUACCAAGGCAACGAUGCGUAGCCGACCUGAGAGGGUGCUCGGCAACGCUGGAACUGGGGCACGGUCCAGACUCCUACGGGAGGCAGCAGUAGGGAAUCUUCCGCAAUGGGCGAAAGGCUGACGGAGCAACGCCGCGUGAGUGAUGAAGGUCUUCGGAUCGUAAAACUCUGUUAUUAGGGAAGAACAAAUGUGUAAGUAACUAUGCACGUCUUGACGGUACCUGAUAAGAAAGCCACGGCUAACUACGUG